RNAcentral lists this ribosomal RNA (429 nucleotides) under Triticum aestivum (bread wheat). RNAcentral's name for it is "partial small subunit ribosomal RNA". Lineage: Eukaryota; Viridiplantae; Streptophyta; Magnoliopsida; Poales; Poaceae. The record is from RNAcentral.
ACGCUCGACGACUGUCUUAAUGAGGCUGAGCAGUGGGCGAUGCCAUGUUCACUUAGGAGGCUCUUCGCAACCAUCUUGGUGCACUGCAAGCCAGGUGAUGUGCGUGGUUUAUGGGAUCGGCACUUCGAGCCUAUGUCAGAUGACUAUCGUCGAUCACGCACGUCCACUGAUGAGGUGGAGCAGAUGGUGUUGCUUGACAUUAGGGGGAUGUUGCAGUCAAUGGGUAAAGACAUUGUUGAUUUCGCUCUUCCAAGCAUAGAUGAUGCGUUUGACCCUACAGAGGGCGAGGCAAGAGAGGUUAUCGAGGAAUCAACCAUUGAGUUUGACAUGGAUGACACAAAAUUGGCAUCUUCACUCAACAUGGAGCAGAGGGCCGCAUACGAUGAGAUACUAGGGGCUGUUGAACGCAGUGAUGGGGGUGUUUUCUUU